AAAGUUAAUUUUAACUUUAGUAUUUAUUUUAAAUAUAUAUAUAUAAAUUUUUUAUAGACAAAAAAAUUUUAAAAAUUUUAAUUGUUUUAAAAUAUAUAAUUUUAAAAAUUAAAGAAAUUUAGAUUUAGUAAUAUUAAUUUUAAUUAAUAAAUUUUUGUGCCAGCAAUUGCGGUUAUACUAAAAAUUAUUUAAAUAUUUUGUAAAAAAUUAAUAUUUUUAAAAAGUUUUAAAAAGAAUUUAUAAGGUAAAAUUUUAAAAAUUUUUAAAAAUUUUAUUAUUUAAUAAUUAUAUGAAGUUUAAGAAACAUUUAAUAGACUAGAAUUAGAUACUCUAUUAUUAAAGUUAAAUAAAUAAAUAUAAGGUAUUAAAAGUUAUAUUCUUUAAACUUAAAAAAUAUGGCAGUAUUUUAAUUAAAUUAGAGGAAUCUGUUUAUUAAUUGAUAUUCCACAAUUUAUUUUACUUAAUUUAUUAGUUUAUAUAUCGUUGUUAUAAAAAUUUAUUUAAGAAUUAAAAAUUUUAAAUUUUAUAUAAAAAAUUAUAUCAAAUCAAGAUGUAGCUUAUAAUUAAGAAUAUAAUGGAUUAUUUAUAAAUAAAUUUUAUGGAUAAUUUUUUGAAAUUUAAAAAUUUUAAAUGAGAUUUAAAAGUAAUUUAAUUUAAUUUAAUUUAAUGAUUAAAUUUUAAAAUAUGUACAUAUUGCCCGUCACUUUCAUUUUAAAUUGAAAUAAGUCGUAACAUAGUAGAAAUACUGGAAAGUGUUUCUAGAAAGAA
RNAcentral lists this non-coding RNA (768 nucleotides) under Micrasema sp. XG-2021. Lineage: Eukaryota; Metazoa; Arthropoda; Insecta; Trichoptera; Brachycentridae. The record is from RNAcentral.